RNAcentral lists this non-coding RNA (27 nucleotides) under Homo sapiens (human). The record is from RNAcentral. Lineage: Eukaryota; Metazoa; Chordata; Mammalia; Primates; Hominidae.
UGAAGGGAAGAGCAAUGGUUUGGACUU